Molecule: ribosomal RNA, 497 nt
Filed under: uncultured bacterium
Lineage: Bacteria
Description: partial 16S ribosomal RNA
Rfam family: Bacterial small subunit ribosomal RNA
Source: RNAcentral
GAUGAACGCUGGCGGCGUGCCUAAUACAUGCAAGUCGAGCGAACAGACGAGGAGCUUGCUCCUCUGACGUUAGCGGCGGACGGGUGAGUCACACGUGGAUAACCUACCUAUAAGACUGGGAUAACUUCGGGAAACCGGAGCUAAUACCGGAUAAUAUAUUGAACCGCAUGGUUCAAUAGUGAAAGACGGUUUUGCUGUCACUUAUAGAUGGAUCCGCGCCGCAUUAGCUAGUUGGUAAGGUAACGGCUUACCAAGGCAACGAGGCGUAGCCGACCUGAGAGAGUGGACGGCCAGACUGGAAAUGAGACACGGUACAGACACCGAGGGGAGGCAGCGGUAGGGAAUCUUACGCAAUGGGGGAAAGCCGGACGGAGGAAAGCCGCGUGAGUGAUGAAGGUGUUCGGAUCGUAGAACUCUGUUAUUAGGGAAGAACAAAUGUGUAAGUAACUAUGCACGUAUUGACGGUACCUAAUCAGAAAGCCACGGCUAACUACGUG